RNAcentral lists this ribosomal RNA (378 nucleotides) under uncultured bacterium. Its description in RNAcentral is "bacterial SSU rRNA". It matches the Rfam family "Bacterial small subunit ribosomal RNA", at positions 1 to 334 of the family's 1533-position model. The record is from RNAcentral.
CGAUCACGUUCAGAGUUUGAUCCUGGCUCAGGAUGAAUGCUGCGGCGUGCCUAAUACAUGCAAGUCGAGCGGUAACAGGGAUUCACCGUGUUCUUGACGCACUUGGCCAUAGAGCAAGUAGCUGACUUCGAGAGCACAGUGAAUCUGCUGACGAGCGGCGGACGGCUGAGUAACGCGUGGGAACGGACCCCAAACUGAGGGAUAACUAGUCGAAAGAUUAGCUAAUACCGCAUAUGAUCUUCGGAUUAAAGCUUUCGAGUGGUUUGGGACUGGCCUGCGUACGAUUAGAUAGUUGGCGGGGUAAUAGCCCACCAAGUCGACGAUCGUUAGAUGGUUUGAGAAGAUGAUCAUCCAGACUGGGACUGAGACACGGCCCAG